RNAcentral lists this non-coding RNA (89 nucleotides) under Glaesserella parasuis. Lineage: Bacteria; Pseudomonadati; Pseudomonadota; Gammaproteobacteria; Pasteurellales; Pasteurellaceae. The record is from RNAcentral.
CUCGAUGGUAGCUUGUAGUGGGAAAGGUUUCGCCCUUUGCUGCGUUCCUUGUGUUGCAGUUUUCCAGCCCGUUGCAAGCUAUCGCCAAA